UAAUGUGUCUUGGCUAAGGUGUCUUGGCUAAUGUGUCUUGGCUAAUGUGUCUUGGCUAAGGUGUCUUGGCUAAGGUGUCUUGGCUAAUGUGUCUCGGCUAAUGUGUCUCGGCUAAUGUGUCUUGGCUAAUGUGUCUUGGCUAAUGUGUCUUGGCUAAGGUGUCUUGGCUAAGGUGUCUCGGCUAAUGUGUCUCGGCUAAUGUGUCUUGGCUAAUGUGUCUUGGCUAAGGUGUCUCGGCUAAUGUGUCUCGGCUAAUGUGUCUCGGCUAAUGUGUCUCGGCUAAUGUGU
Anopheles funestus (African malaria mosquito) is the source of this 288-nucleotide long non-coding RNA. RefSeq lists it as uncharacterized. The record is from RefSeq and is a predicted model, not a curated record. The transcript is spliced from 3 exons. Lineage: Eukaryota; Metazoa; Arthropoda; Insecta; Diptera; Culicidae.